Molecule: non-coding RNA, 11642 nt
Organism: Gasterosteus aculeatus aculeatus (three-spined stickleback)
Lineage: Eukaryota; Metazoa; Chordata; Actinopteri; Perciformes; Gasterosteidae
Source: RefSeq, a predicted model, not a curated record
CAGGACACUCUUCUUCUGCGUUACCCCCCACCUCCCCCUCCCUCUCUCCCCUACUGUUUAAGCCUCUAUAGAAACAGUCGCAUAUACUUCAGCCACAUGUGGACAGUUGAUGGCAGAAUGAAUUCCACUCAUCCCGCGGUGAUGAGAGACGAUGGGAGGCCGCGUUACUGCUGAUGUUGACUGCAGCAGUUGAAGAUGCUUCGGUAAAUCAUUUCAAAUGUAUUAAGCCGCCCGGAUCUGAGCUUAAUGCUGCACCGGUCGCUGUGGCGCAAUUCUUCAAGCUGACCAAACCUUUUAUGACAAUAAAUUUGCAAUCCCAACUAAGAUUACCCUGCGACUUUGCAAGAGGUUAUUUUGUUGGUUAUGAUUGUUGCAUCUAAUAAAUUCGCGGCAAGAAACCAAAAACGAAAAAACGGGCACAGCCGAGCAAACUCAGCAGAGCAAAAUGUGCCGCCCCGUUAAAUUCACUCCAACCCAGAAGGGAUUUUAUUAAAGGUUGCAAUGCAAAUGGUGUCUGUGACUCUCCUCAUUCAAAUGAUGGGCCGAUUAUGAAACAACACACACACACACGCGGUUAUUUUGUGAGAGUUGACACUUGCAGAAGCUUCUGUCGCCCUCCUUCCAAGAUCUCUCUCCCGGUAUUACCUGUUCAACCUCUAUUUCUCUUCACUCGAUUAUUGCUGCAUCACACCUGACUGCCCUCAUCGAAACAUUGAACCGUACCCUCUCCUCCAUGUGCCUCCCUCUCUUUUGAAGGAGAGCACUUGAAGGCGUUCUCUUUUGCCUCAAGAUCAAACAGUGUAUCAAAAGAAAAAAAAGAGAAAGAGAAUUGGACACCGAGCACCUGAUUACCGUGGAUCUUUUGGGGUGAGCUCAGUCCAGCCGCACCUGACUGGACUUUCAUUUCCUUCACCUGACCCGUGAUAAUCCACUUAGCAGCGUAACUUCUGGUUCCCUUCAUUGUCCUUGGCUGUGUUUACAGGAAGCAUCGGUUCGUUUUUACCAAAACAGAAUUGCACUGAAAAUUCUGAUGGACAAUCUUUCUGUUUUGGGAGGAAUCCAUACAGUUUUUACCUGUUGAGAAUAAGUAACCCGUCCCAUAUAUGUGCAUAUAUAUGUACAUUUAUAUACUUUUAUGCAGUGAUACAGAGAAGUUCUUAUAUACUGUCUGUGCUACAAAUCGCUAUAGAAACAGGUUGAAGAUAAAUUUAGUCAAAAGGGCAAUAACCAGGCACCAAAACAGGUGGGAACAGUUGUGUGAGUGUGUGGGGAGGUCAGGUGGUGACGAAUGGUGGGAAAGAGGUUACUGCACAGCAGGAGUGAGAGUCCAGAUCCGAAUGGAUACCAGAGUUAGUAUGUGGCUGGAAAUGCAGAGCAGACAGCAGAACGUGUGAGUGGAAGUUGGCUGAUCCCGAGCUGUCAAAGGUACAACAUCUAAACUAAGUUAAUGAGGGAGCACACAUCUAACGUUACAUGAAUGAGUGAGUGGAAGCCGCUCCUGGCCCUCGGGGCAAUAUCCUUUGCUUAGACAGCAAAAAAGAAUAUCAAAGAAGUUUGAAAUUCACACCCGUUAUGACAGCAUGAAAUUUGACUUACAACGUCAUAAAAACAUGCUGACUCAAGAGUAAGUUAACCUUAGCUGAAAGCAUCAACCUGUCUCAAUGUGGUUUAAGCCUUUUUAAAGUCAAAUGCAAGCAGUCUUUUUUUCCCCACAUUCUCUACAUAACCCUUUAUUUUUCAAAUGCUGCAGAGUUCUUUAAAGUCCCUGAAUGUUGGGUCAUAACUUAUAUAAAUCCAGCGGCUGGGUUUUGAUUCAGCGGUAGACGCCUGUGGCUUGUAGCCGUGAACAGUGGCACUUACACAGUUAGGGAAUGUUUUAAGGAAAUUAACUCUGAUCUGAAGUUUAACACAUAUUUGACCAAGACUCUUAUUAAUAAUUUGGCAAAUAUGCAGAAAAUACAUUAGAUUCUGUGCCUCUUGAAACACGUUUGAGUAAUGUAAUAUUAAAUUGACAUGUCCACCUCACAUGUUAAACACUAAUGUAUCUUUGUAGUAAAGCAUAUCCAGGAUUGUUAUACAAUUCUGAAUCAUUGAAGCAAGGCAAGGCUAUUUUAUUUGUAAAGCACAUUUCAACAACAAGGCAAUUCAAAUUGACCUUUGCAAGUUCUAUUCUAAUCAUUGCCUCCACCUUGGCCAGCUAUCGAGAAAGAAUUAUUAAACAUUUGAGAAUUUGUAGGACAACCUUAAUAAUAGAAACAAUCAUUUGUUUUUGGUUGUAACCCGAAUAUAAUUUCCUCAAUAAAGUGUUUUUCUUUCUGUAAAAACUCACCGUUAGAAAUGUGACUUGGAUGCUAGGAUGGUGACAGCAGUGCAAACCAUAGUGAAAACUCACUGUGCCCUACUGGUUUUCAGUACUCCAGAUUAACCUGUAGGUUUCAGGUCCGACUAUUGGAUGAAUCGCUGUUAAAUGUUUUAAAGAUAUAUUUGUGAUCCCCAGAGGUUGAAGCCUUUUGACCCGGGAUACAUUUAAACUAAUGCUGGCAUUUAGGGCAAAGGAAACUCUGUGCUAACGGAGCUGCUGGAGGGGGCAUGAAAUCCUGGAUGAUAUGCAUGAAUGCACAUCAUCCAGACGGGCCAGGCUGGAUGUGGAGGCUGCAUGCCGUUAAAAUGUUCCUUUGUAGCACUGAUACUUUUGUUCUAGGCAGAAAGUAAAUGUUGAGGUGGGUGCAGGAAGCAGGCGGAGGCUGUUUGCAUGAAAGAGAUAAGGGUCGGCACCUAAACCUCUUUAACCCUCUGUUUGUUUUGUUGCAUGCCCUCGCUAAAAGUUAGUAGUCGGGUAAAAGCAAACAUUAUGCUGUGGGAACAGCGCCUGUAUCAAAGUGUCUGUAUUAUAGCAGGCGUGGCUCCCAAACUGCAGAGAGAAGUAUGUCCCUCGACUGCACUUUGCACUGCUAAAGAGAACAAGCCCCACUAUAACAUUAAAUAUUAUAUUAUCAUACCUUUCAGAAUAUUAUGAGUUCAUGUUUUAUUGAAUGUGAGAGCUGCUUGCAUGCGAGACUCAUUACAGUAAUUAGUAAUAAUUAUAACAAUUUGGAACCAGAUAAAAUAGAUAUUUAUAUAUUACUUGUCCUACUAUAAACAUUUACUAUUAUUACUAUAAAUAUUAUCAAAACAAUAGGAGGAAUUCAUUAAAAAAAUUAAACUUUAAAGUGCUGGCAUUUCUCAUCCCUCUUAACAGGUUGUUUUUAACGUUUUCCACUUUCGUUUCAUUUUCUGCAGCUCUAAGGUUGUUAAACUGAUUCCAGUUACAAUAUUAAGUUUGAAGCAGGCGGACCUAAAUGCAGAGAGGAAUAACAGAUUGCUGCACUUCACUUCAAUCAUUUAUUAAAAUAAUUUAGAAGGCUCGCACGCAAUCAGUCCAAAGCCAGGCAGGAACAGCAGGCGGGUUACAGGUGAACAGAACUUCACGCGACAGAAAAGACAAGCUGAUGAAGGGCCGUGGAACAAGGCGAGGAGAUAACGAGGGGGACGUGACAGCUCAACGACGAGGAACACGUGGAACUCAUAGAGGCGGGCCGUCAAUCACACCAGCAGGAAACAAGACAAGAAGUAAAACAUCAAAGACAAAGAGGACCUUUAAACAACCCGUGGGACCAUUUAGAUUGAGGAUUAUUCCUCAAUAUUUUCAUGGGUCAUAUAAGUGUCUCCUUUAUUCAUCCAAUCGAUCGUUUGGCGCUGCAGUUAAACGGUUUUCGUGUUUUUUUUACUUGGAUUUAAAAGUAACUUUUAACGGAUUAGUAUUUUUAUUAGUGUUUUAUUUUUGCAGUAUUUGGGUGCGCAGCAUAUUGUUGGUAUCACUGGCCUUCCAGCCGGCAGCGGCUUCUUAAUGCAAUUAUCAAAUGGGGAUUUUGCUCAAGGAAUUUAAAUAUAUAUUGCAUACUCACAUUCCUUCAUAAGCAGUUAUUUGUUUAAAAAUAUUUUGCUCUUUGCCAUCAUUGUUUUACAUGCCAUCUAAAUAAAAUGUGUGAUUAUUGGUACAAGUAAAACUUCUGGUUGAGUUUGUCUAUAAGCCACAGCCUCUCAGAAGUACCUCCCCCUGCAUUAAAAUCUCUAAUUUCACACCACCAGGACUUCCUCCAUCUCCCUCAUAAAAUAUUAGGUGUUUUAAUGACGCCGGACACAUUAAUGCGUACACACGUGCAAGCACACGAUCCCUCCCACAUACGCACACAACAGACUUUUAAUGACAGCCAAGCGCUAGCAUUCCUUUUCAAUAUUCAUGCCUUUUACGUAACCUUUACGUAACUGUGGGACGUGUGUACACAACUCAGCGUGCGUGUGCGUGCUGCAUGCACGUGUGUGUGUGCACGCCUGGGCUUAUGUGUGUGCCGGCGCGUGUGUUUGUGUGUAGUUUAGGUCUUUUCUCUGUAGUUUCCCUCAUUAUAAGAAAAGUCUUUAAUGUUUUUCUCCCAGUGGAGAGGGGAAGGGAAUACGAAACUGUUAUUGCAGAGAUAGUGGGAGAAAAAUCUAAGGGAGACGGCAAAAGACAGACACUUUAGCUCAUGCAGUGUGAUCUCUCGGAUGACGACACCCAUAUUCGCCUCGCCAGCAUCCGCGUGGGCACCUACGCUCACGGGGCUCGCCUGUCUCUCUCUGUGACCUCAGCAAUGUAGUUUCCAAUGACGGGGAAAGAAUGAUCGGGGUGCUUUACUUAAGAGGAUAAUAUCACAGGGGGAAGGAGAGGUAGAGGAGGUGUGUGUGUGGGGGGGGAGGAGUGAGGAGAGAGGAGUGGGAUGCAAGACGGCGAAUAAAGGAGGCUCAGGAGGGAUGAUGGCAGACGAGGAAGAGGCAAAGUCUGCUCCCAUCAAUCUCUGACUGCAUGAUGCUCCCGUCCUAAGAAGAAACGAGCUCUUCAGUUCUCACAUGACAAAGCACAGAUUGAGCUUGGUGAAGACAAAGGCUGCUCGUGAAUGGUCGAGUUUCCAUACUACAAAAGUAUGUUUUUUUGUGCCCCUCCCUCCUCUUCUACAUGCAGGACCUGCAUCCUGUAAUUAGCGCCGGCCAAGACGACAUGUGAUGGGUUUCAAAGAAAUACCAACAAGCCACAGCGUUAUUUUUAAGUACACCAGAAUGAAUAUGUAUUACACUGCGCCAUGGAGAUAGGUCUGCCUGUGGGAGCAGAGAUAACGUCUAAUAAUGUCUCCGAAGGGUUUAUAUUGGAGUUUCGGUAGGUGCUGUUAGCUGCAAAUGCUCACGAAACAGCGCUGGAAUUGAUUGUAUUGUAUGAAUUUUGUAAAUAGUCAAUGGACUUGUAUUUGUAUAUUCCCUUUCACCCGUUUACGCAUUCAUACACUGAUGGCAGAGGCUCCCAUGCAGGGUGCCAUCUGCCCAUGAGGACCCCAAACUAACUCAUUCAUAUUCAUAUAUCCAGAGCACUGCCAAGGACACUAACACCUGUCUCUACAUACUUUGGGGCAGUUUUAUGAAGUUCAGAAGAGAUGCUGUCAUGAAAGUAUUUUAAUUUCAAUUGUUGUUUUCUAAUUAAAUGUCCAAAAUUCGCAAUCAACAUCACAUUAAGGAGUAAUGUCGAGGUGUGUUUUUUUGUUGUCUACAUACUUUUGACCAAUUAUAUAUGAUAUAGCUUGAAAUAUGCAUUGCCUUUGUCUCAAAAGCUGAAGCAAUCAAACAGAAUCACACUUGAUGCACUGGGUUAGCAGCACUCACAUGAUCGGACCACGCCCUGCUGUAAUUCUGCUUCCAACAACAAUCGUGUUUACAUUAUUCCAUCUACUCCAUCCGACACAGUGACAGUGAGCUACAAAACCAUUUGCAUCACUGGAAUUACAUCCAGGCCUAUUUCAAUUUUCAUCAUUAAAUAGGCUUCCACACAUGGCAGUGAUCAUGGUGUGCACAGGGGUUUUCCGGUGGUGCCGGCUUUGCUAGAUCACUGUUUCCAGGAGUAAAUAUCCAUCUCUCUUGUGAACAUCUGCCUGUGGCUAUCAGGGAGGUGACGGAGAAUCAAAAGAGCAAGGUUGCGACCGGACAGCUAAACAAUGAGCUAAAUCUCACUGAAAACGCUGCGUAUAGCGGAGAAGAGCCGCAGAUUAGAACAUUUUCUCUGCUUCCUUCCCAUUGAUACCGUCUUUUUUUCACAUUCUCAUUUAAUACAUUACAGAAAUAUUAAUUAUAGCUGCAAAGACACAAUUUUACAAAAAUGCAGCCUCAUUGUUAUUGGGGUGAAAUUGACAGAAGUAGCACUGUCAGUGUUUUUUAGUCAUGCAUAUAUACAAUGGAGCACUUGAAAACCCUCUUUUUGAUAAGAAUAUAAGAAUAUAUAAGAAACCUGUUCUGAAGAGCCACGUUUUGGUGGUGCCAUAACCAAGUAGUUCAUGUAAAUUUCCUCGCGUUUCUACUUCUUAGUAGUCUGAUCUCAAGCACUUCACUGCUUUUAGACUCAGUCUAUUUUCGAUGCACUCCCUGCAGUGUGAUACCGUAGCCUUUACUUGAGCCUUAGCGCACAAACUGCUGUGUCUAAAUAAAACACACUUGAUACUGCCGACAUGUCAGGAAGACUGCAAGGUGGUGUUUAGCUGGACAAGGACUUCCACCCACCUUAUGUUAUUUCCUGUAGAAACAGUAUUACUGCAGUGUCAUGACGGGUCAGGCCGGCGAUGUCCUCUCCGCACGCCAACAACUGUAGCGGUAGGCUUUGUGCCAGCAGAGGAAGUGUGAGGCAAUCAUUCACGGAUAAGAAUAUCUCCCUCUACGGUCACCUUUAGUUCUUACAAAUUCUGUAAGGGGAAAGUCCCUCUUACCCUCUGCAGGCCGGGGAGGCAACGCCGUUAUCUGCAGCUGCAGAUUUGGCCCGAGGGGUUGAGAGUCAACACCUGGGAUGUUGUCUUCUCUUGUGCUCGAGCUCUGAGUUUGUGUGGGUUGGUUAUCUGAUGACAACUCGUAAUCCUUUACACAAGUGUCCCUAUAGAUGAGCUUUACAGUGGAUUACACCGAGGAAUAGGGUUGGUAACCUUUCAGCUCUUAAUCUCAACAGUAUGAGCUUUGAAGGGACUUUUUCUUUUUCUUUUGGAGGACAUGUUUUCCUAAAAUGCUAUAUAAAUGCAUUUAGGAAAGCUCUUUGUCGCAUGUGAUGUAUAAAUGAAUAACUACAAAACACCAUCUUCUUAAUAUCUACUUUUUUAUUGUGAAUUCUAUUGGAUGAUAAUACAAUUUGCUUUUGUGCAAGUAGGGCCCAAAAGUUCCCAUUUGCACCAUUUCCACACGUGCAUCGCUACAGGAAGUCAUCACAAUCAGAUUAGAAUCAGCUUUAUUGGCUUACGCAUACAUGGAAUUUCCAUUCUUUACCUUUACUGUCCUACGGUACAUACAGUUUCUUUUUAAAAAACAAGAAAAAGGACUACACAAAAAGUGAAACGUGAAGGAAUACAUAUUCAACAUAGAUAUGAAUAUACAAUAAUCUGUUUUGAGUGCAGGGAAGAGAAGAAAAGGGCUGAACGCUGGUGGUUACAGCUGAUUCCCGAGGCUGCCGAUGUUGUAAGUUGACUGCUCUUAAGUUCCUCUGGAGGUGUGAAAAUUUUAAAAAGUACCUAAAACAUUCUGGAGCUGUAAAAACAUGCUUCAAAGGGGCAUUUAGUGUUCACUAUUGUAAGAUAGAAGAAGAAAAUGUUUUAUUCCUCUGAUGGAUCUGGGUAGAAGUUGCAUCCAAAGAAGACAGAAGAGGCAAUAUGUAUGAAAAUGAGCAGAGCAAUGUUCCAUCAGCUCCAAUAUCAACAGAGAAGUGAUGUCGUAAAAUACUUCGCCCUGGAUAUCAUUGCUCUGCAACACAUCGCUCUUCAUUGCUCCCAGCAAGCCUCCCAGGAUUAAAGAACAACAACAAUGCAAACGCACAUAGACACAUGCAGAUUGUGACAUGGUUACUAUCCAAACAUGUUUCCAGUAGCAUGCAUCACCAAAUAGACUGGAAGAAAAGAAGCAUGCUGACUCAACUAAAAACCCGCCCUGACCAGACACAGAUUUGCAUGCAAAGUGUGUUUUCAUUGACUUCUGUAAUGCAGAUAUUAUGGGUGCCUGUGGCUUAGUGGGUAAAAUGUUUUUGUCCAACCACAAAACUACUGGAUUUUUUUGGUAAUUUAUCUUUAAUGUCCUAUGCUUAUGCUUAUGCCUAUCUGAUCCAUCCAUGAAGUCAUCUAGGAUAUAUCCAGGAUGUCAAACUGAUUCAGCAAUGUAAACAGAUAAACAGAUAAAGAAGCUAAAGCCUACAGAUCACAGCUAAAGGUGAAUGAUCACCUGGUGCUAAAGGUAGAAGGUAGAAGUUUCUUCUGCACGUCGAUGCAUUUUGCUUUCAUCCAAACUCAGAGGAGCAUAAAAAUAUUUGGCAAACUUUCAUUUUUUUUUUUACAAAUGUCCAAUGGAUGAGAUAUUUUUAUUUGCCAGUUGAAAUGCAGAUCAUUAUAUCAUAUCUCAGCAUCUGUGAGGCCAAGCAGGUUUAUUGUUGGUGGCAAUUUGUGGCAAAAAAACAGAGCCCUCCAAGUCCUUUCAUGCAUCAUGUCUUUCUGUCCUUUUCUGUCUCUCCUCCCCAAGUACUUCGUCCCAUUUCCCAUCUCUGUCCCUCUCCCUUCACUUUCUGCCAAAAACAGGAGGCUGACAAUAGCUCCAAUGAAGAUGAAUUGAAAUAUGCUGUGGCUGGAUUCGGCUUCCCAAGACACACAAUGGAAGGACCCAGUGCUGCAAUUAUUACUCAGGAUUCCAGCUCGCUGCUCGGUAAGCUCAUUUUCCUUGUGUUCUUUCUCUUCGUCGAUCUUCCUCUCUGUCGUUUUCCACCUGAGUUUCUCUCCCUUUCAGGGUGGUGUUUCUAUCAGCCUCCUCUCCCUUUCGUUGAGUCCCUUCCAUCUUUCUCUCUUUCUCUUUCUCACCAUGUUCUUCUCAGUACAGUCCAUUAUUGUUGUUUGCUAAAGUAGAACUAUAAUUUCACAGCUGAGGAGCCAUAUCGGGUCUGCAGUAGUGAUUAAUAAUCUGACGGUGAAUAAUGAUUUCAUCCUCCAUAUUCAGCUGUAGGUAAUUACUCGCUGUGUAAUCGUGGAAUAGAUUUGCUCAUGAAAAACAGACUUAUUCAAAUGUGAGAUAUAAACCGGAGUGCCUUGGGUGCGCCGAGGCAUCCGUGAAGCUAAAUUUACAUGGGUGGGAUCCAAAUAUAGGCACAAGAAUAAGAUUAGAACAUUAGCGUGGGCGUCACUUCAAGGCUCUGCGAUCUUCCAAGUUUCCCCCGGUCUUGUUUCCUCCGCUGAAGUGCGGCAGGCGCCCUGCCUUUGCUGCCCCGUUCAUCCCAACUGUGAUGAAUGUGUCAAUACAAGGCAUUUCAUUCUCUUUGUCCUUGUAUCUGUUCUUGUCUAUAAUGAUAAUGGAUUCAAUUUGUUUUCUCAAUGGAAGUCGAGGGAUCGGGAGGUCGUUGGCAAAGCAACAGAUGGAUGGAGAGAAUGCAAGCCGGCGUUGCCAAAAUGAGACUUGAUAUUUUGUUGUUGGCGAUUUGGUUUUGUUUUUUCGUUUUUUAAUGGGUCUCAGAGCAGCUAAGCAGCGUACCGGAGGGUGUAAGACACUGUAAACACUGUAACUCACUUAGAAGGAUUCACAUAAAGGAAACGCUUUCUCUUGUGCACGGACACACACGUUUAAGUCCACGGGACAAAACAUAAUUCAUACUUUGCAUACUCCAACGACGUGUCUUUUUUUUACAUGCGUGUGUGUGUUUGUGUCUGUGUGCGUGGGCGUGUGCUUGUGAGUGUGCCUUUGUAUUUGCACAGCUUUGGUUAUUUUGGAUCUUGCUGAGGAUGCUAACACGUUAUACAGAUGAUCAAAACAAAGGUCACAAUGCAGUUAAUCCUGGUUGUCAGAGCAGUGCUAAGUGGGUGGGUUUUGUACAGUCUGUGUGUGCGUGUCUUUAUGUGCGUGUUCAUCUGUGUGUUAAUUCAGAAUUGGGUGUGUUUGCUCAGGUUUGGUUAUUUUGGGUGUCGUAAACGAGACAGUGAACUCUUUUCAUUGUAGAUACAAGUUUCUCCAUCUGGUUGCUAGGCAACCAAAGGCCUUCUGUUGUUCCACAAAAGGCACACGUGUGCAUGCCCAUCCAGAUGCACAUGCCAACAUGCACAGGUGCACACACGCAUGUAUAUGAACACACACACAUACCUGCGUGUUAGCGGUAAACAUGCAGCUCUAGCUGCAGAUAAACAACAGCUAUCGCCCCCAUCACAGUGUCCACUCUGAGGUUUGUUCUCACAGAUCACAUGCCAGAUCACAAACAGCGUGUCUGCCGGUGUGUUUGUGCGAGCGUGUGCGCGUGUGUGUGUGUUUGUGUGUGAGCAUCAGGGGGAUUUUGCCAUUGUUCAGACCGUUUAGAUAGUUCUGCUUGCCAUGGACUCAACAAUCCCCUUUCCGUACGCACACAGAGCAACACAGGCACAAACAGGCAUGCAAACUCCUCCACAUAUGGCUACACACUCCACACAAGCGCGCAUAAACACACACACGCACCAUAUUUCUCAUGAUGACAGGUGGAGCAAUGUGCCGUUGGAUUAGCACCAAACAGAAGAGGAGGUUUGGAACGUAACGUAAUGCUUUGUUGAUAGAAACCAGACGCUGCUCCUCCUGACUUUGGCUUUUCAUGCAGUGUGUCCCCGUACACGCUUCGCUCAAAAUAAGGCCAAUGAUGAUAGAAUGAGGCAAUCUCCGCUCUUCAGGGCGUGUGUGCGUCAGGAGAGAAGGAAAGCCGCAAACACGGGUAACGGAAUCCAGACAUGAGUGUAUGUAUCUGGGGGUGUGUGAAAGUGUGUGUGUGUGUGUGUGUGUGUGUGUGUGUGUUUGUGUGUGUGUGUGUGUGCUCAUUAAACGGGUAAGAAAAAAAGGACCAGCUCGGGAGGGAGAGAUUUCUCGGUGCCCAUCAGCAAGGAUUUACUGAUGAGGAAGUAAAGGUUCUCUCAUCUCUCCUCAGACGUUCCCUCCUCAGCUUGCGCCGCUUUCCUUACUGUCUUUUAUUAAUUGCCAUCGUUCUAUUCUAUGAACUGGCUUUGUCAGCACGUACACCCUGUGAAGGCGGAGAGAGUUGAAGUUCUGACCGAUUUCAAAGAGAAAUUAUGUUCUGUAUUCCAACUGUAGAGGGAAACGGCAAAUCUCGACCGCCUUCAGCUGCAGCUCGUUUCAAGUUGAAACAGAUGGUGAGACUUCAGCGGUGCCCCUGCAACAGGCGAGACUGUACGACUACAAAGCUAAGAUAAGUGAUAAUGACGACUUGUAUCAGCAUGGAGCAAAGGAUAAACAACACCUUGACAGGAAAUGAGUAAAAAUGUGUUAGAAUACACAAAGGACUUAUUCUACCACUGUCUCGAAGAGAGAAAGAAGGCAGGAAUAUAUUUUAAGAAUGCGGAGCUCUCCAGAAAUGAGAUGCCCUUUGCUGGGAAACAAAAGAUUUUUAUGAUAGAACUGCAAACUGUUCAAUAUUGAAGCACCCCUGCAACUCAAAUACGUGUUUUGCUUAUUGUAACUGGACUUAGAUGUUUGACCUUCACUGCUCAAAGUGAAACACGUGCAGAGGUUAACAACCAAGGGCGUUUCUCACAUUGAUCUCCACGAGGGGGAAU